CCAAAGGCUCUUCUAAGAGCCACCACAACCUCUGCUGAGUUGAUCU
Molecule: non-coding RNA, 46 nt
Organism: Takifugu rubripes (torafugu)
Lineage: Eukaryota; Metazoa; Chordata; Actinopteri; Tetraodontiformes; Tetraodontidae
Source: Rfam